RNAcentral lists this unclassified non-coding RNA (348 nucleotides) under soil metagenome. Its description in RNAcentral is "partial contains 5.8S ribosomal RNA, internal transcribed spacer 2, and large subunit ribosomal RNA". The stretch from base 1 to 120 matches the Rfam family "5.8S ribosomal RNA", at positions 35 to 154 of the family's 154-position model. The record is from RNAcentral.
GAUGAAGAACGCAGCGAAAUGCGAUGAGUAAUGUGAAUUGCAGAAUUCAGUGAAUCAUCGAAUCUUUGAACGCACAUUGCGCCCGCCAGUAUUCUGGCGGGCAUGCCUGUCUGAGCGUCAUUUCAACCCUCAUGCCCCUAGGGCGUGGUGUUGGGGAUCGGCCAAAGCCCGCGAGGGACGGCCGGCCCCUAAAUCUAGUGGCGGACCCGUCGUGGCCUCCUCUGCGAAGUAGUGAUAUUCCGCAUCGGAGAGCGAUGAGCCCCUGCCGUUAAACCCCCAACUUUCCAAGGUUGACCUCAGAUCAGGUAGGAAUACCCGCUGAACUUAAGCAUAUCAAUAAGCGGAGGA